RNAcentral lists this ribosomal RNA (253 nucleotides) under uncultured bacterium. RNAcentral's name for it is "partial 16S ribosomal RNA". It matches the Rfam family "Bacterial small subunit ribosomal RNA", at positions 524 to 776 of the family's 1533-position model. The record is from RNAcentral.
UACGGAGGGUGUAAGCGUUAUCCGGAUUCACUGGGUUUAAAGGGAGCGCAGGCGGAUUGGUAAGUCAGUGGUGAAAGGCUUAAGCUUAACUUGGGAACUGCCAUUGAUACUAUCAGUCUUGAAUGUUGUUGAGGUUUGCGGAAUGGGUCAUGUAGCGGUGAAAUGCAUAGAUAUGACCCGGAACACCUAUUGCGAAGGCAGCAGGCUAAACAAAUAUUGACGCUGAGGCUCGAAAGCGUGGGGAUCAAACAGG